Pangasianodon hypophthalmus (striped catfish) is the source of this 1564-nucleotide long non-coding RNA. RefSeq lists it as uncharacterized. The record is from RefSeq and is a predicted model, not a curated record. The transcript is spliced from 3 exons. NCBI's taxonomy places the organism in Eukaryota, Metazoa, Chordata, Actinopteri, Siluriformes, Pangasiidae.
GUGUUUUUCUUUUUUCCUUUUUUGUUUGUUUUUUUGGAAGAGCGGAAAUCCCGACAAACGCAAAGUCUCUUCUGAUGCACAAUAAAAGACUCCCAAUUUACAGACUAGAACACGGAAAACGUUUGAACCCAGCUGAGAUGACAGGAGAUGGGAAUUGUUGAGGCAGACGAGUUUGCAGAGGUUAGAGCCCUGGCUAUUGAUUCUGCUGGCUGUCAGUGCUGAUGCGGGAAAGAAGCGUCCACUUGAUGAAUGGUGUGUAAUUGAUAGUCCCUACGAUCCAAUAAAUGCUCGCCGAUAGCCUGCAGACUUCCAGACAGAAGGGGAAGGCGAGCCAUCAGAGAGGAAGCAAAUUACGCACAGCGGCCAAAGCGAGCGUUUCAGGCUGUUUCAAGUGGAGCCAGACUGCGGCGCAAUGCCAAGUCUCCCCCCCGAAUCCCUACGGCCUCUUCCAGAAGCCCCCCUCUCUUCUCCCUCCACCUCCCCAGGCCUAGUGCUUAUGCUAUGGGCCAAGAGUCACACAUGGCUGGGUGGGUGGCUUCAGGCGUCUUUGUGCAUCCGGUGCAGGCAAAGCUCAUUCAUGUUUUACUGGACUCCCACAUACACGCACAUGUGGAUACGAAGUGUGGAGGGAGCAGAAUGAAGAGUGAACAUGGGUGAAAGCGCACAUGCCCAUACUCUUACUCCAAGACUACACACAGACAGAAGUGUAACACACAAAUGUUUGGGCCAUUUUGUGCACAUUUGAAUACAAUAGAAAAAAUGCUAGAAGUGGACAGUUUUGAUUUUAUUGAGCGUUCCAUCAGCAUGUCGAUGUUGAAACCACAGAGAUGUUGGGAAGUGGGUUUGUAGGUUAUUGCAUUAACAAUAAACAAGUGCAUUUCAAAUGGAUUUACCCUCAUAAAGAGAUGUAAAAUUUGUUUUCUCUUCUUUCUUCUUGAACAUACACACCUUCACUAUUUAUUCUUAUCAACACAUCAAAAUAUUUUAGAGCACUUUACAAAUCUCAGGCUGCACUUCCUAAAAUUCCACUCAUGCAGUUAAAAACACUCAUUACAUUUCACCGCUGCUAUGUCACUUCCUGUCAAAGCGCUACCAACUGCUCCACACACACUUCUCCAAUUUUUGACAAACAUGAAUACAACACAAAAGCUCCAAAAAAAAAAAGCAUCCCCUAAACACUCUAAUACACUCUGAUACACUAAAACACACACAAGCCUGCCUGUGGUUCCAGCUGCUACUGAUUUACUAUAUUUUGAAAAAAUGCAGAGAGAAAAAGAAGAGAGAGGAGAGUGCGUGAAAGAGAAAGAGAGGAGGGAGAAAACAGAGAGAAAGAGAGCUCUUGAAUGACUUAAUAACAGUUUCCGCUGGCGGUGCUUCCACUGCUAUUUCUGGCGGCAUGAUCAGAGAGGAGAGAGCAGCACGCAGAAGGAAACACACUGUUUCAGAGCUCUCCACUUCCACCAGCCAUCCUUCCAUCUCUCAACCCUCUGCAUUACUCUGCACUCCAUUCAUCCCUCCCUUUUCCAUUCAUUCCUUUCUUCAUGCUCACUCAUGCUCGACUGUC